Molecule: ribosomal RNA, 121 nt
Organism: Scophthalmus maximus (turbot)
Lineage: Eukaryota; Metazoa; Chordata; Actinopteri; Pleuronectiformes; Scophthalmidae
Source: Ensembl
GCUUAUGGCCACACCGCCUGGUUCACGGCUGAUCUCGCUUUGAUCUCGGGAAGCUAAGAUAGGUUGGGCCUGGUUAGUACUUUGAUGGGAGACCGCCUGGGAAUACCAGGUGCUGUAACUU